UACGGAGGAUUCGAGCGUUAUCCGGAAUUAUUGGGUUUAAAGGGUGCGUAGGCGGCCAUUUAAGUCAGCGGUGAAAUUUUGCAGCUUAACUGUAACAGUGCCAUUGAUACUGGUUUCCUUGAGUGUGGAUGAAGUAGGCGGAAUUUGUGGUGUAGCGGUGAAAUGCAUAGAUAUCACGAGGAACUCCGAUCGCGUAGGCAGCUUACUAAACCAUAACUGACGCUCAUGCACGAAGGCGUGGGGAUCAAACAGGAUUAGAUACU
Molecule: ribosomal RNA, 263 nt
Filed under: uncultured prokaryote
Description: partial 16S ribosomal RNA
Rfam family: Bacterial small subunit ribosomal RNA
Source: RNAcentral